This 812-nucleotide ribosomal RNA is filed under the name Escherichia coli. RNAcentral describes it as "partial 23S ribosomal RNA". It matches the Rfam family "Bacterial large subunit ribosomal RNA", at positions 375 to 1191 of the family's 2925-position model. The record is from RNAcentral. Lineage: Bacteria; Pseudomonadati; Pseudomonadota; Gammaproteobacteria; Enterobacterales; Enterobacteriaceae.
GUACACAAAAAUGCACAUACUGUGAGCUCGAUGAGUAGGGCGGGACACGUGGUAUCCUGUCUGAAUAUGGGGGGACCAUCCUCCAAGGCUAAAUACUCCUGACUGACCGAUAGUGAACCAGUACCGUGAGGGAAAGGCGAAAAGAACCCCGGCGAGGGGAGUGAAAAAGAACCUGAAACCGUGUACGUACAAGCAGUGGGAGCACGCUUAGGCGUGUGACUGCGUACCUUUUGUAUAAUGGGUCAGCGACUUAUAUUCUGUAGCAAGGUUAACCGAAUAGGGGAGCCGAAGGGAAACCGAGUCUUAACUGGGCGUUAAGUUGCAGGGUAUAGACCCGAAACCCGGUGAUCUAGCCAUGGGCAGGUUGAAGGUUGGGUAACACUAACUGGAGGACCGAACCGACUAAUGUUGAAAAAUUAGCGGAUGACUUGUGGCUGGGGGUGAAAGGCCAAUCAAACCGGGAGAUAGCUGGUUCUCCCCGAAAGCUAUUUAGGUAGCGCCUCGUGAAUUCAUCUCCGGGGGUAGAGCACUGUUUCGGCAAGGGGGUCAUCCCGACUUACCAACCCGAUGCAAACUGCGAAUACCGGAGAAUGUUAUCACGGGAGACACACGGCGGGUGCUAACGUCCGUCGUGAAGAGGGAAACAACCCAGACCGCCAGCUAAGGUCCCAAAGUCAUGGUUAAGUGGGAAACGAUGUGGGAAGGCCCAGACAGCCAGGAUGUUGGCUUAGAAGCAGCCAUCAUUUAAAGAAAGCGUAAUAGCUCACUGGUCGAGUCGGCCUGCGCGGAAGAUGUAACGGGGCUAAACCAUG